Molecule: long non-coding RNA, 660 nt
Organism: Olea europaea var. sylvestris
Lineage: Eukaryota; Viridiplantae; Streptophyta; Magnoliopsida; Lamiales; Oleaceae
Exons: 2
Source: RefSeq, a predicted model, not a curated record
GGAAAUAUGGUCUCCGAUGAUACCCCAAAAUGGGAACAACAUCAGUGAGAAGACCCCAUAAAGGUUUAACUAUCCAAGGAAUGGAAGUGAUUCCAGAGUAAACUUGAGCCUCAGAAGGUUGCACUUUUUGCACAUCUUUCAUGUAAUACUGUGUGCCCACCCGAGCAAGAGCUCCCCCAAGUCCUUGGCUGAUUCCAUAAACAAUCACUACCCCAAAUACAAAACUCCAGUGCAAUUCCAAAGCAAGCAUUUUGACCCAAUAAACUGGUGUGAAAAUAGCAUUAUAGAUCCCAUUCUUGGGCUGAUGAUUUUCUUCAACUUCCUCUUUGUGAAUUGGAAUAGUCUCUUCCUCCCCCAUUUUUCUCAUAAAACAAAAUCUUAAGAAAUUCCACUACAAAACCAAUAAGAAUCCAGAUCUAAACCCUACGGUUUCUACAGAUUUCUGAAAAAAUGUCUUAGAAAAGUAGAGGGAUCUUGAUUCAUCUUGAAACCCCUAUGAAAAGUGAACACGAGUAAACUGUAUCAUCUGGUUCUUGUUCGAAAAAUCAAGUAAAACGUGUCAGAAGGAUUCUUAGCCAAAACCAUGUUUUUGAUCUGAUAACUCUGUUUCUAAGCUAAAGAUUUAACCAGAAGAGCACAAAAUUGUCUUAAAGAUUGGCA